RNAcentral lists this small RNA (488 nucleotides) under Cystobasidium sp. 1224 FbB. RNAcentral's name for it is "eukaryotic LSU rRNA". The stretch from base 128 to 281 matches the Rfam family "5.8S ribosomal RNA". The record is from RNAcentral. Lineage: Eukaryota; Fungi; Basidiomycota; Cystobasidiomycetes; Cystobasidiales; Cystobasidiaceae.
GAUUGGGUCUUUUAGAGUCCGACCCUUUCAUUUUCUUACACUGUGCACACACUUCUUUUUUACACACACUUUUAACACCUUAGUAUAAGAAUGUAAUAGUCUCUUAAUUGAGCAUAAAUAAAAACAAAACUUUCAGCAACGGAUCUCUUGGCUCUCGCAUCGAUGAAGAACGCAGCGAAUUGCGAUAAGUAAUGUGAAUUGCAGAAUUCAGUGAAUCAUCGAAUCUUUGAACGCACCUUGCACUCUUUGGUAUUCCGAAGAGUAUGUCUGUUUGAGUGUCAUGAAACUCUCAACCCCCCUAUUUUGUAAUGAGAUGGGUGUGGGCUUGGAUUAUGGUUGUCUGUCGGCGUAAUUGCCGGCUCAACUGAAAUACACGAGCAACCCUAUUGAAAUAAACGGUUUGACUUGGCGUAAUAAUUAUUUCGCUAAGGACGCUUUCUUCAAAUAUAAGAGGUGCUUCUAAUUCGCUUCUAAUAGCAUUUAAGCUU